UUUGAAAUGUUUAUUCGACCGGUAAUAUCACUUUUUGAAGUUUUUGUCCGACAUAACGCUGGCCAGAAUUAACGUUUGGAUAUGGAUACCAAACACUCUAACAAAAUAAGGUAUUUGGACAUAAAUAACGGACAAAAACUUUGAACAAAACAAACAUUUAUUGUGGACCUGGGAUUCCUGGAGUGCUUUCUGAUGUAGAUCAUCAAAGGUGACACGCAUAAUAAUGCCAUGUGGCGUCUUCCACAACAUAGCCCUGAGGCAUGGUAUUGAAAUGGAUGCGGAGUUUAGAAUGGACCCCCAAGAGCCUCCUAACCCACUACCCAAUGGAGUACAUGCCCCGGCUGAUGCAGUGAAAAGGAGGCGGCUCAUACCGAGAUUGGACUGAGGUGGUCAACACACAAACUGUAGAUGUGGAUGCAGAUGUGAAUGGACCGUCGACACCUGUGGCCAAACAUUCCCCCUCACUCUUGUCACCUGCGGGUCUGUGACGCUUAUGAACCGGGGCCUCACGGACUUCAUCCUGGAGCAUGGACACAGAUGGUGACGGACCCUCGACACCUGUGGCCAAACCUUCCCCCUCACUCCGGGCACCUGCUGAUUUGGGAGACUCACACACUUUAUCUCUGGGUGGAGGGAGCACGGGCUGCAACACAGCUUCCCUUGGUGGAGUGUGCACCCUCACCCGGUGCACUAGCUGCAACGCAGCUUCCCCCAUUUCUAUGUGUAUAAAAGAAUGUUUAAAAAUCAGUGUUUGUCUUGUAUAUUAAGUUACUGACAACCAAGUUUCACAUUCUCCUAAUUACUUACCGUGAUCCAGUGAUGCAGUCUUCGGGUUUUGCACUCCGACGUCACUUUCCGAUGUCACUGAUAAACAAUGUAAAAGUUGGGAUUAAACCAUAUGAAAAAUAGAAGAAACUCACCUUUUUUAACAUUCACCGUUGCCGUCGGAGCAUGUGCCAGUGUA
Molecule: long non-coding RNA, 964 nt
Organism: Oncorhynchus tshawytscha (Chinook salmon)
Lineage: Eukaryota; Metazoa; Chordata; Actinopteri; Salmoniformes; Salmonidae
Exons: 3
Source: RefSeq, a predicted model, not a curated record